This 95-nucleotide small nucleolar RNA is filed under the name Oryza sativa (Asian cultivated rice). Its description in RNAcentral is "Z209 small nucleolar RNA". The record is from RNAcentral. Lineage: Eukaryota; Viridiplantae; Streptophyta; Magnoliopsida; Poales; Poaceae.
CUCUGAUGGCUGAUGAGAAGAAAAGCCCGUAUUGCCCGCGCGUGGUCUCUGAGAACGAUAUUCCCGUUCCCAAAUCGUUGAGCCUGACGGCGCAG